Molecule: non-coding RNA, 230 nt
Organism: Pelobates cultripes (western spadefoot toad)
Lineage: Eukaryota; Metazoa; Chordata; Amphibia; Anura; Pelobatidae
Source: the annotation of a GenBank genome assembly
GCCUGCUAAGACUUUUAUUUAGCUUGACUAAAUGGAUAGCGCCACAGUAAAAAAGUAUUGUGGUAGGCAGUCACUGAAUACUUAAGUGCAGGUGAUAGACUGCAUGCUACCCUCUUCCCAGUCCCCAACAGAGUUGAAAGCAGGAAUACUCAGCAUUCCACUAAUUUAUAGUGAUGUUUUUAUUAAACCAUAAAAGCCACAGAUGACAGUGUUUAAAUGCCAGUUGGUAU